Maniola jurtina (meadow brown) is the source of this 1739-nucleotide long non-coding RNA. RefSeq lists it as uncharacterized. NCBI's taxonomy places the organism in Eukaryota, Metazoa, Arthropoda, Insecta, Lepidoptera, Nymphalidae. The transcript is spliced from 4 exons. The record is from RefSeq and is a predicted model, not a curated record.
CGCCAACUUAGCGGUGGGGCUGCGAUACCUUUUCCAUUAGCGUAGUGGUAAGGUUCAGGUACAAUAAUGUAUUAUAGGAUAAUUUAGAAAUAGGCGGAGGCUUAACUACUUAGUUAAAAAUGUAGUCAGUAUUGUGUUUUUCCUAUUAUUUUAAAUACAACAAUGUAUUGGAAUCUGGAGCAUUUUCGAGGUGGCAAGUUCCGUUAGAAUUAAAGAUGGCGGAGUCAUCGCCCGGUUGACGCGUUAAUCCUUGAUAGCACUAGAAUCUAUCCCAGAGAAGGCAUAAGGAUAAAAUGUAAGACUCGAUUAAAACCGUCGAACAUCAUGGCAGGUCGAUUCCACCCGUACAAUAGGCCAGUAUAUUAGGAGUCCAAAAUAUACUAAAAUGCGCCCAGUUCAAACGCUAGAGGAUUAGCCUGUUUCGCUAAGGAAUAUCCCGGUCUUGCUAAGGAUUACACCCGGUUCGCUACGAGAUUACACACGUCAUCCGGUCUUCAGCGUAGAAAUCUCCCCCCUUAGGGAUUUUUCUAGUUAUCAUUACGCAGAUGUUUAGUGUGUCGGAGCUACCAGGCAGGCUUGAUCCGUGUUAUGUUUCGCGCAAUUGCUACGAGAGUUUUAGUAACAGAUGUAGAUUAUUACGAUUACGGAUAUACUCAGAAAUCAUACUUAGAUCCCGAAGCAGUUAAUUUUUAAUCUCAUUCUGUAAGUUAUUAUUUUAGGUUUAAAUUCGAAUUUUAGAAAGGACAUGAAUCACUUUGAAUACAAAGAUAAAAUAGCUUGUAUUUUGAUUAAAAUAUUAUGUAUAAUAUAUAAAUCACUAGGUAUAUAUUAUAUUUUUAACUGAGAUAACAAUUUGUUAUUGAAUUACUUCGUGAAAUUGCAAUCGUACAUGAAUUAUUAGAUUCGAGUUUAAGUUUCGUUAUUAUGAAUAUUACUUUAUAUAUUAUUUAGUCUCUUACAUACUCUGAAACGGAUAUUUAGCCGGACGAUGACGUAGAGUUAGACAUAGGAUAGUUAUAGAAUUAGAUUGAUAAUUAGGUAUGUAUUUUAUCACAUUCAGCAUUUGACGAACUUCGAACGUAAUUUUAUCUAGUUUCUAGGAAGUUAGCUAUACAUAGGUUCAUAAUAUAAGUAAAUUAAUGCUAAUUAGUGGUCUAUGAAUAGAAUAUAAUAUGUACAUAUAUGUAGUAUAAGGUAGCUAAUAAUAACUAGCUAUUUUUAACUUAUGUACAUAAAUUGCAGAAGUAAAAAGUAUUGCAUUCUAUAAGGGUAGGAGGCAAGCGUAUGUCAUUAGACUUACACUUAAUUAUUAUUAAUAUUAUAGGCAGGUAAAUAGCCCCUGAGACAAACAUAAAUAAUACCGUAGGUUUAGGAGACUUAAAAUAAGCUCCAAUAAAAUAUAAACCUGGAAGAAGCCUAAAUUGUUGGCAGGUAUAAUAAAGUUCUGAUCAGGAGAGGCUAGAGUAAAGUAAGAUUGAUGUAGGUCUGUUUAGGUUAACGAAAACCACUAUUAGAUAUUUUCAGGUUUAUUUUCAGCAUUGAAAUCAUAACUGGCCGAGUUUAUUAUAAUUUUACGGCUUAAGUCAUUGCUCCGGAGUAGAUACGUCAAUAAUAAUAUAAAAAUAAGGGAUACAAAACAUUAAAACUCGUAAUCAGUGAUUUGUCCCUUCUGUUGUAAUAUCGCUUUGUACUAUAAAAAGAUAUUUUAUUUUAAAACAUCUGAAUCAAUUUAAAAAUAU